RNAcentral lists this ribosomal RNA (1199 nucleotides) under Entrophospora walkeri. Its description in RNAcentral is "eukaryotic LSU rRNA". Lineage: Eukaryota; Fungi; Glomeromycota; Glomeromycetes; Entrophosporales; Entrophosporaceae. The record is from RNAcentral.
CGCAUCGAUGAAGAACGCAGCGAAUUGCGAUAAGUAAUGUGAAUUGCAGAAAUACGUGAAUCAUCGAAUCUUUGAACGCAUAUUGCACUCUCUGGUAAUCCGGAGAGUAUGCCUGUUUGAGGGUCAGUAAACAAACAUUAUCAUAAAUCAUUGAUUUAUGGAAUUGGGCAUUUAUUUCAAUAUACAAGAUUUAUUGCCUUAAAUUUACGUCGUUAUGAAAUUCUCUCUAAAUGGAGCAAUUAAACAUUCUCGUUUGGUUGGGACAUUUCAUUUACAAAAACUUAUUACGAUUUUCACGCGCAAAGACGCUUUUAACAAAGUGGUCUCAGCUACGAUCGUAAGUUAAUUUAACAAAGACCUCAAAUCAGGCAAGAAUACCCGCUGAACUUAAGCAUAUCAAUAAGCGGAGGAAAAGAAACUAACAAGGAUUCCCCUAGUAACGGCGAGUGAAGAGGGAAGAGCUCAAAUUUUAAAUCUAUCUUGUUCUUCAAGGUCGAGUUGUAAUUUGAAGAAGCGUUUUCUUGGAUUUGCAGCCGGUAGAAGUUCCUUGGAACAGGACAUCAUUGAGGGUGACAAUCCCGUCUGUGACCGGUUGCUCGUUCAUCUAUGAUACGCUUUCAAAGAGUCGAGUUGUUUGGGAUUGCAGCUCCAAAUGGGUGGUAAACAUCACCUAAGGCUAAAUAUUGGCGAGAGACCGAUAGCGAACAAGUACCGUGAGGGAAAGAUGAAAAGAACUUUGAAAAGAGAGUUAAAUAGUACGUGAAAUUGUUGAAAGGGAAACGAUUGAAGUCAGUCGUGCUGGCGCGUAAUCAGCCUACGAUUUGUCAAACAAGUAGUGUGGUGAGCCUCAAAACCGCCAUAUUAUUUGUCUGGUUAAUCGUCGGUGCACUUUCGUGUCGGCUGGUUAACAUCAAUUUCAAAUGUCAUAAAAAGGCUGGGAGGGAUGUGGCUCCUUCCGGGAGUGUUAUAACCUUUWRSGGAAUGUGGUGUUUGGGAUUGAGGAUUGCAACGAAUACCUUUAGGGCUGUUCCACCUGGUCUCUCUUUGGCAUCUUGGCGGCGACAGCUUGCUGACGUUGUUAAGAGUUGACAUUGAACAGGCUAGAGUGUGGGCAAAUUCGUUAAGGAUGUUAACGUAAUGGCUUUAAACGACCCGUCUUGAAACACGGACCAAGGAGUCUAACAUAUAUGCGAGUGUUC